UUCGCAAUGCCCGAAAGGGUGACGAAGCGACGCCGCGUGCGGGAAGAAGGCCUUCGGGUUGUAAACCGCUGUCGGGAGUUAAGAAAUGUAAGGAUGUUAAUAGCAUCUUUGCUUGACUAAGGCUCCGGAGGAAGCCACGGCUAACUCUGUGCCAGCAGCCGCGGUAAUACAGAGGCGGCAAGCGUUGUUCGGAAUUAUUGGGCGUAAAGAGCACGUAGGCGGCUAUGUAAGUCGGUUGUGAAGGCCUUCCGCUCAACGGGAGAACAGCAUCCGAUACUGCAUGGCUUGAGUGCGGGAGGGGAGAGUGGAACUUCUGGUGGAGCGGUGAAAUGCGUAGAUAUCAGAAGGAACGCCGGCGGCGAAAGCGGCUCUCUGGCCCAUAACUGACGCUGAGUGUGCGAAAGCUAGGGGAGCAAACGGGAUUAGAUACCCCGGUAGUCCUAGCCGUAAACGAUGGGCACUAAGUAGAGGGGUUUUA
This 478-nucleotide ribosomal RNA is filed under the name uncultured Planctomycetales bacterium. Its description in RNAcentral is "bacterial SSU rRNA". It matches the Rfam family "Bacterial small subunit ribosomal RNA", at positions 365 to 833 of the family's 1533-position model. Lineage: Bacteria; Pseudomonadati; Planctomycetota; Planctomycetia; Planctomycetales. The record is from RNAcentral.